AGUCCGCACGAGCGCACCCCAACGUUUACGUUGCUAACGCGUGAAGGCGAGCACGUCUAGACGAACUGCCGUUGACAAAACGGAGGAAGGUGGGGAUGACGUCAAAUCAUCAUGCCCCUUAUGUUCUGGGCUACACACGUGCUACAAUGGCCGGUACAGACGGACGCAAAGCCGCGAGGUGGAGCAAAUCCUAAAAAGCCGGUCUCAGUUCGGAUUGCAGGCUGCAAUUCGCCUGCAUGAAGUCGGAAUCGCUAGUAAUCGCUGAUCAGCAGGCAGCGGUGAAUACGUUCCCGGGCCUU
This 299-nucleotide ribosomal RNA is filed under the name uncultured Bacillus sp. Its description in RNAcentral is "partial 16S ribosomal RNA". It matches the Rfam family "Bacterial small subunit ribosomal RNA", at positions 1083 to 1382 of the family's 1533-position model. The record is from RNAcentral. Lineage: Bacteria; Bacillati; Bacillota; Bacilli; Caryophanales; Bacillaceae.